Molecule: RNase P RNA, 385 nt
Filed under: bovine gut metagenome
Description: Bacterial RNase P class A
Rfam family: Bacterial RNase P class A
About the family: Ribonuclease P (RNase P) is a ubiquitous endoribonuclease, found in archaea, bacteria and eukarya as well as chloroplasts and mitochondria. Its best characterised activity is the generation of mature 5'-ends of tRNAs by cleaving the 5'-leader elements of precursor-tRNAs. Cellular RNase Ps are ribonucleoproteins.
Source: RNAcentral
CGGGCGGGGCGAUCGCGCGAUAUGGCGCCGAAAGGUAUUAUCGUGAGGAAAGUCCGGGCUUCACAGGGCAGGAUAACGGAUAACGUCCGCCGAGGGCGACCUCCGGGAAAGUGCAACAGAGAGAUACCGCCGCGCUCUGCGCGGUAAGGGUGGAAAGGCGAGGUAAGAGCUCACCCGCUCUUCCGGUAACGAAAGAGCGCUGUAAACCCUAUCCGAAGCAACACCUUGAACCGCUCCUUCGGGAGACAGGCUGCCCGCCUGCUGCGUUCAUGGUGGCAGAUCUCUGCCGCAAGGCAGAACGAACUUUCGCGUGAGCGGAAGUGAAGAUAGAUGAUCGCUGCCCGACCGCACCGUCGGGUACAGAACCCGGCUUACAAGCCCGAUC